This 254-nucleotide ribosomal RNA is filed under the name uncultured bacterium. Its description in RNAcentral is "partial 16S ribosomal RNA". It matches the Rfam family "Bacterial small subunit ribosomal RNA", at positions 524 to 776 of the family's 1533-position model. The record is from RNAcentral.
UACGUAGGGUGCGAGCGUUGUCCGGAAUUAUUGGGCGUAAAGAGCUCGUAGGCGGUGUGUCACGUCGGCCGUGAAAACCUGCAGCUUAACUGUGGGCGUGCGGUCGAUACGGGCAUCACUGGAGUUCGGCAGGGGAGACUGGAAUUCCUGGUGUAGCGGUGAAAUGCGCAGAUAUCAGGAGGAACACCGGUGGCGAAGGCGGGUCUCUGGGCCGAUACUGACGCCGAGGAGCGAAAGCGUGGGGAGCGAACCGG